Molecule: small nuclear RNA, 91 nt
Filed under: Saimiri boliviensis boliviensis (Bolivian squirrel monkey)
Lineage: Eukaryota; Metazoa; Chordata; Mammalia; Primates; Cebidae
Source: RNAcentral
UUCCUGCUCUGGUAGGACAUAUACUAAAAUUGGAAUGAUGUAGCAUGACCCUUGCUCAAGGAUCACAUGCAACUUUGUGAGGCAUUUGCUU